This 800-nucleotide ribosomal RNA is filed under the name uncultured bacterium. RNAcentral's name for it is "bacterial SSU rRNA". It matches the Rfam family "Bacterial small subunit ribosomal RNA", at positions 8 to 796 of the family's 1533-position model. The record is from RNAcentral.
AGAGUUUGAUCCUGGCUCAGAGUGAACGCUGGCGGCAGGCCUAACACAUGCAAGUCGAGCGGCAGCGCAGCAGUAGCAAUACUGUGGGCGGCGAGCGGCGGACGGGUGAGGAAUACAUCGGAAUCUACCUUCUUGUGGGGGAUAACGUAGGGAAACUUACGCUAAUACCGCAUAAGACCUGAGGGUGAAAGCGGGGGACCGCAAGGCCUCGCGCGAGAAGAUGAGCCGAUGUCGGAUUAGCUAGUUGGUGGGGUAAAGGCUCACCAAGGCGACGAUCCGUAGCUGGUCUGAGAGGAUGAUCAGCCACACUGGAACUGAGACACGGUCCAGACUCCUACGGGAGGCAGCAGUGGGGAAUAUUGGACAAUGGGCGCAAGCCUGAUCCAGCCAUGCCGCGUGUGUGAAGAAGGCCUUCGGGUUGUAAAGCACUUUUGUACGGGAAGAAACCUUCCGGGUUAAUACCCCGGGAGAAUGACGGUACCGUAAGAAUAAGCACCGGCUAACUUCGUGCCAGCAGCCGCGGUAAUACGAAGGGUGCAAGCGUUACUCGGAAUUACUGGGCGUAAAGCGUGCGUAGGUGGUUCGUUAAGUCUGCCGUGAAAGCCCCGGGCUCAACCUGGGAAUUGCGGUGGAUACUGGCGGACUAGAGUGCGGUAGAGGGUGGUGGAAUUCCCGGUGUAGCAGUGAAAUGCGUAGAGAUCGGGAGGAACAUCUGUGGCGAAGGCGGCCACCUGGACCAGCACUGACACUGAGGCACGAAAGCGUGGGGGAGCAAACAGGAUUAGAUACCCUGGUAGUCC